GUGCUUGCUGGAGCAGUACAUACACUAAAGGUGGAACAACACAGAUGUCAGUCAGCAUGGUCCCUGUGCAAGGAUAACCCUCAAAUUUAUGAAGCUCUCCCUGUUUUU
This is a small nuclear RNA of Octodon degus (degu), 108 nucleotides long. NCBI's taxonomy places the organism in Eukaryota, Metazoa, Chordata, Mammalia, Rodentia, Octodontidae. The record is from Ensembl.